Cercocebus atys (sooty mangabey) is the source of this 13235-nucleotide RNA transcript. It is a transcript of the gene named prune homolog 2 (Drosophila), with no coding region annotated. The transcript has 19 exons. The record is from RefSeq and is a predicted model, not a curated record. NCBI's taxonomy places the organism in Eukaryota, Metazoa, Chordata, Mammalia, Primates, Cercopithecidae.
ACUUUCCUUAUUAGGGCAGAGUCGAGUGCCCAGAGCCGGCGGCCGGGCGAGGGGUGGGGCGGGGAGCCCGGGGGCCAGACGGCCGAGGGCGCAAGCACAGCCUCAGCCGCAGCCGCCUCCGAGCGGCAGGAGGGAGCAGUCGGUCGCUGCGCCCCGGCGGGCCACUUUCCCGGGACCCCGCUCCUCUUCCUUGUGCCGAGAUUUUCCACUGCGCCCCUCCUAGCACCCGGGUCCCAAACCCCCAGCCACGACAUGGAAGAAUUUUUGCAACGCGCCAAAUCUAAACUGAAUCGAAGCAAACGCUUGGAGAAGGUCCAUGUGGUUAUUGGGCCUAAAUCAUGUGACUUGGAUUCUCUCAUUUCGACCUUCACAUAUGCUUACUUUCUAGACAAGGUCAGUCCACCAGGGGUUCUGUGUUUACCAGUGCUGAACAUACCAAGAACUGAAUUCAACUACUUCACCGAGACGAGGUUUAUUUUAGAAGAGCUAAAUAUUUCUGAAUCAUUCCACAUAUUCCGGGAUGAAAUUAACCUGCAUCAACUAAAUGAUGAAGGGAAGUUAUCAGUAACACUUGUUGGCGACAACGUGCUGGCGAGUGAAGACAAAACUUUAGAAUCAGCAGUUGUCAAAGUCAUUAAUCCGGUUGAGCAGAGCGAUGCCAACGUUGAGUUCCGAGAGUCUUCCUCUUCCCUCGUGCUGAAGGAGAUUCUCCAGGAGGCUCCUGAGCUCAUCACCGAGCAACUGGCUCAUCGCCUCAGAGGUAGCAUUCUUUUCAAGUGGAUGACCAUGGAAUCAGAGAAGAUCUCAGAGAAGCAGGAGGAAAUUCUUUCUGUCCUGGAAGAAAAAUUUCCUAACUUACCUCCAAGAGAGGACAUCAUCAACGUCCUACAGGAGACCCAGUUCAGUGCUCAGGGUUUAAGUAUUGAACAGACAAUGUUGAAAGAUCUAAAGGAACUGUCUGAUGGAGAAAUAAAAGUGGCCAUUAGUACUGUGAGCAUGAACCUUGAGAAUUGUCUGUUUCACAGCAAUAUUACCAGUGACUUGAAAGCAUUUACAGACAAGUUUGGUUUUGACGUCCUCAUCCUGUUCGCCAGCUAUCUGUCAGAGGAGCAGCAGCCGAGACGACAGAUUGCUGUGUACUCAGAAAACGUAGAGCUGUGCAGUCAGAUUUGCUGUGAGCUAGAAGAGUGUCAGAACCCUUGCCUAGAACUGGAACCCUUUGACUGUGGCUGUGAUGAGAUCCUGGUGUACCAACAAGAGGACCCUUCAGUGACUUGUGAUCAGGUGGUUCUCGUUGUCAAGGAAGUCAUCAACAGGAGGUGUCCAGAGAUGGUCUCCAACAGCCGGACGUCCUCAACAGAAGCCGUGGCAGGCAGUGCCCCCCUCUCCCAGGGGUCUUCUGGGAUUAUGGAAUUGUAUGGUUCUGACGUAGAGCCACAGCCCAGCUCUGUGAAUUUCAUAGAGAACCCUCCAGAUCUCAACGAUUCUAACCAGGCUCAGGUGGAUGCCAACGUAGACCUCGUUAGCCCAGACAGCGGACUGGCUACCAUUAGGAGCAGCCGCUCAUCCAAGGAGAGCUCUGUUUUCCUCAGUGAUGACAGCCCCGUGGGAGAAGGUGCUGGGCCUCACCACACCCUCCUCCCAGGGCUUGACUCCUACAGCCCCAUCCCUGAAGGGGCGGUUGCGGAGGAACACGCAUGGUCUGGAGAACAUGGUGAACACUUCGACCUCUUCAAUUUUGACCCAGCACCCAUGGCUUCUGGCCAGUCCCAGCAAUCUUCUCAUUCUGCAGACUACUCCCCAGCGGAUGACUUCUUCCCCAACAGCGACCUGUCAGAAGGACAGCUCCCCGCUGGGCCUGACGGACUUGAUGGCAUGGGAACCAACAUGUCUAAUUAUUCGUCCACUUCACUUUUGUCGGGGGCUGGCAAAGAUAGCCUUGUGGAAUAUGAUGAGGAGUUUGUCCAGAGACAAGAAAGUCCCAGAGAUAACUCUGAAAGAAAUUUGAGCCUGACAGAUUUUGUGGGAGAUGAAUCCCCUUCCCCAGAAAGGCUAAAAAAUAUUGGAAAGAGGAUCCCACCAACACCCAUGAAUAGUUUAGUAGAAAGCUCGCCAUCCACGGAAGAACCAGCCUCACUCUAUACAGAAGAUAUGACCCAAAAAGCCACUGACACAGGUCACAUGGGGCCACCUCAGACCCAUGCACGGUGCAGCAGCUGGUGGGGUGGUUUGGAAAUUGACUCCAAAAAUGUUGCAGAUGCGUGGAGUUCUAGUGAACGGGAAUCUGUUUUCCAGAGCCCUGAAUCGUGGAAAGAGCAUAAGCCAAGCUCCAUUGAUAGGAGAGCCUCAGAUUCGGUAUUUCAGCCAAAGAGUCUCGAAUUCACAAAGUCAGGUCCCUGGGAGUCUGAAUUUGGUCAGCCUGAACUGGGUAGCAAUGAUAUUCAAGACCAAAAUGAAGAAAGCUUGUCAUUCCAGAACGUGCCCAUGGAGAAGCCACCUUUGCCAAAUACAUCUCCCCAAGGAACAAACCACCUGAUAGAAGACUUUGCUUCUUUGUGGCAUUCUGGUCGCUCUCCCACAGCCAUGCCCGAGCCCUGGGGAAAUCCUACAGAUGAUGGUGAACCAGCAGCUGCGGCGCCAUUCCCAGCCUGGAGUGCGUUUGGUAAGGAAGAUCAUGCUGAAGCGUUAAAAAAUACCUGGAAUUUGCACCCAACAAGUGGCGAGACACCUUCUGUUAGGGACCCGAAUGAGUGGGCCAUGGCAAAAGGUGGAUUUGUCUUUUCUUCUUCAGAACUACUGGACACUUCACCCAGUGAGAUAAAUAAUGAAGCAGCUCCAGAAAUCUGGGGCAAGAGGAACAAUGACUCCAGGGAUCACAUCUUUGCACCUGGAAAUCCCAGUUCUGAUCUGGAUCAUACAUGGACUAAUUCUAAGCCACCAAAAGAAGAUCAGAAUGGUUUAGUGGAUCCUAAAACUAGGGGCAAAGUAUAUGAAAAGGUAGAUUCCUGGAACCUUUUUGAGGAGAGUAUGAAGAAAGGAGGGUCAGACGUCCUAGCUCCUUGGGAAGAUUCCUUCUUAUCUUACAAAUGCUCUGAUUACAGUGCAUCCAACCUAGGAGAAGAUUCGGUGCCAUCCCCCUUAGAUACCAAUUACUCCACCUCAGACUCUUACACAUCACCAACAUGUGCUGGAGAUGAAAAGGAAACUGAACACAAGCCAUUUGCUAAAGAGGAAGGUUUUGAGUCAAAAGAUGGUAACUCCACGGCAGAGGAGACUGACAUUCCACCUCAGUCACUGCAACAGCCAUCUCGAAAUCGAAUCAGUUCAGGUCCUGGGAACCUAGACAUGUGGGCUUCACCUCAUACAGAUAACAGUUCUGAAAUAAAUGCCACUCACGACCCGGAUGAAAAUGAACUCAAGACAGAGCACACAGAUGGUAAGAAUGUCUCCAUGGAGGAUGACGUAGGGGAAAGCAGCCAGUCCAGUUACGAUGACCCCAGCAUGAUGCAACUGUACAAUGAAACAAACCGACAACUCACACUUCUGCACAGCAGCACCAACUCCCGGCAGACAGCGCCUGACAGUCUCGACUUGUGGAACAGAGUGAUUUUGGAGGAUACGCAGUCCACAGCAACGAUCUCAGAUAUGGACAAUGAUUUGGACUGGGAUGACUGCAGCGGGGGUGUGGCACUCCCCACUGACGGUCAAACAGAAGGAUACAUGGCUGAAAGUACCGAGCCAGAAACCCGAUUUACAGUGAGACAGCUGGAACCCUGGGGCUUGGAGUAUCAGGAGGCAAAUCAGGUAGAUUGGGAGCUCCCUGCCUCUGAUGAGCAUACCAAGGACAGUGCUCCCAGUGGACAUCACACACUGAAUGAGAAAAGUGGGCAGCUAAUUGCAAACAGUAUUUGGGAUUCUGUCAUGAGAGAUAAAGACAUGUCGUCGUUCAUGUUACCAGGUUCCUCAUAUCUCACAGAUUCAGAGCAAAGCGAAUUGCCUUCUGAAAUCCCCAGCCAUUCAGCAAAUGUUAAAGACACUCACUGCCCAGAUGCGCCAGCAGCUUCUGGAACCAGUGAGUCAGGGGCACUUAUAUCUCAUCUUGACAACCAGGAGACAGAGAGGGAAACCCUGCAAAGUGAUGCAGCAUCCUUGGCAACUAGGCUUGAGAAUCCAGGGCAUUUUGCACACCCAGAUCCAUGGAAAGGUCAUAGCAAUGGACAAAGUGAAAGUGAGAAGGAAGCCCAGGGAGCCACCAACAGGGAGCACCUCGAUGAAGAGGAGGUGAUCGCGUCUGGUGUGGAGAGUGCCUCAGGGAUUUCUGAAAAAGGGCAGAGUGACCAGGAACUGUCUUCUCUGGUUGCAUCUGAACAUCAGGAAAUCUGCGUUAAAUCAGGCAAAAUCAGCUCUCUUGCAGUCACUUUCAGUCCUCAAACCGAGGAACCAGAGGAAGUUUCCGAGUAUGAGAAGGGGUCUUACAAUCUAGACUCCCGUGAUGUGCAAACAGGGAUGUCUGCAGAUAACCUGCAGCCAGAAGACACCUAUGAACAGAACCUCAUGAGUCAGAGAAAUUCAGGUGAAACUACUGAGACUUCAGAUGGGAUGAAUUUCCCAAAAUAUGUAUCUGUACCAGAAAAGAAUCUUGAGAAAACUGAAGCAUGUAACAUUCUAGAGCCAGAGAAUGUGGGUGGAGGGGGACCUCACAAAGUUCCCCAAAGCCUUGACUUUGGGGAUGCUCCUGUAGACAGUGUCGUGCAUGUCAGCUGCACAAGUUCCGAGAUAACCAAAAAUCUUGAUGUUAAGGGGACUGAAAAUAGCCUUCCAGGAGCCAGUUCAUCUGGAAAUUUUGACAGAGAUACUAUUUCUAGUGAGUAUACUCAUUCAAGUGCAUCAAGUCCUGAGUUAAAUGAUUCUUCAGUUGCGCUGUCUUCCUGGGGCCAGCAACCCAGUUCUGGGUAUCAGGAAGAGAACCGAGGCAAUUGGAGUGAACAGAAUCACCAAGAAUCUGAACUAAUUACCACUGAUGGCCAAGUAGAAAUAGUUACCAAAAUGAAGGAUUUAGAGAAAAACAGAACAAAUGAGUUUGAAAAGAGUUUGGAUCGCAAAACUCCUACAUUUUUAGAGAUCUGGAAUGACUCGAUUGAUGGUGAUUCCUUGUCCUCUUUGUCUAGUCCUGAAACAGGCAGAUAUUCUGAGCAUUCAGGGACACGUCAGGAAAGCAAUCUCAUCGCUAGCUACCAGGAGAAAAAUGAACAUGACAUUUCUGCAACUGUGCAGCCAAAGGAUGCCAGGGCCAUUUCAACAAGCUCAGGUUCUGACGAUGACAGUGUCGGUGGUGAAGAGUCAGUGGAGGAAGAGAUCCAGGCGGCCAACUGCCAUGUUGCUCAGGAUGAAUCCAGGGCUUGGGAGUCACUGAAUGAAUCGAAUAAGUUCUUGGUCACAGCUGAUCCUAAGUCUGAAAAUAUUUAUGACUACCUAGGCAGCUCAGAGCCAGCAGAGAAUGAGAGUAAGUCAAACCCAUUCUGUGACAAUCAGCAAAGCAGCCCUGAUCACUGGAAUUUCUCACCGUUAACGGAGACUGAAAUACAGGUUCCAGCAGUGGAGAAGGAGAUGAGAUCUUCUCCAGAAACAGGGAAGACAGGAGAUGUUGCAUGGCAAAUAUCUCCCAAAGCUGAACCAAAGAACGAAGAUAAUUCUCAACUGGAAAUGCUGGGCUUCUCAGCUGAUAGCACUGAGUGGUGGAAUGCCUUACCCCAGGAAGGGAGACUAAUUGAGAGUACAUCUGAAAGGGAGCUGUCUGAUCCCAGUGAUGUGUUGGAGAUAAAUUCUUCCGUAUAUCAAAAUGCCAGUCCCUGGGGAGUACCAGUUCAGAAUGAUAUUGAGCCCGUGGAAACACACUAUACUAAUCCUUUUAGUGACAACCAUCAGUCACCCUUCCUGGAAGGUAAUGGGAAGAACUCCCAUGAGCAACUCUGGAACAUUCAACCAAGGCAGCCAGACCCAGAUGCUGACAAAUUCAGCCAGCUUGUAAUAUUGGACCAAAUCAAAGAAAAGGACUCAAGAGAGCAAACCUUUGUGUCUGCUGCUGGUGAUGAGCUGACUCCUGAAACACCGACCCAAGAGCGGCGUCAGGACGCCAUGCUGUCAGUCUGUGAUCAGCCAGAUGCAGCCUUUACUCAUGCAGAGGAAAAUGGUUGUGUUACAUCUAAUGUUUCAACAAAUGAAGGUCAAGAAACAAAUCAGUGGGAACAAGAAAAAUCAUACCUGGGUGAGAUGACACAUUCAAGCAUUGCCACAGAAAAUUUUCCUGCUGUCAGUUCUCCCACCCAACUGAUAAUGAAGCCAGGCUCUGAAUGGGAUGGCUCUGCCCCAAAUGAGGACUCCCAAGGUACAUUUGUGCCAGAUAUUUUACAUGGCAACUUUCAAGAGGGUGGGCAGCUGGCCUCUGCCGCGCCUGACUUGUGGGUGGAUGCUAAGAAGCCCUUCAGUUUGAAAGCAGAUGGUGAGAAUCCUGAUAUCCUGACACAUUGCGACCAUGACAGCAAUUCUCAGGCUUCCAACAGCCCUGAUAUAUGUCACGAUUCUGAAGCAAAGCAAGACACUGAGAAGCACCUCGGUGCUUGCAUGGGACCUGAAGUGGAAUCCAGUGAGCUUUGUCUCACUGAGCCAGAGAUGGAUAAAGAACCCAUUCAUGAGCCUGGACAGGAGUUUGUCCCAUCCGAUGCAGAACUCGAUUCUGAAAACGCAACUCCGCUGCCUCCAAUUGGCAAUCAGGCAGACAUAAAGGGCUCCUCUCAGCCCGCCUCUCAUAAAGGUUCACCUGAACCUUCUGAAAUAAAUAGUGAUGACAAUACAGAUUUACAAGCAUCAGAAAAAGGAGCCAGCCCAGAUAUGGCACCAAUUUUGGAACCAGUUGACAGAAGAAUCCCAAGGAUUGAAAAUGUGGCAACUAGCAUUUUUGUAACUCACCAAGAGCCAACUCCAGAAGGCGACAGUUCUUGGUUAUCAGACAGCUUUUCUCCUGAAAGUCAGUCUGGUGCAAGAGCUUUGUUUGAUGGUGAGCCACGUUUAUCCACAGAGAAUCCUGCCAUGGUUCCUGAUGCUUUGCUAGCCUCAGACACUUGUCUGGAUAUAAGCGAAGCUGCCUUUGACCACAGUUUCAGCGAUGCCUCAGGUCUCAACACAUCCACGGGAACGAUAGAUGACAUGAGUAAACUGACAUUAUCCGAAGGUCAUCCUGAAACGCCAGUUGAUGGGGACCUAGCGAAGCAAGAUAUCUGCUCAUCCGAAGCCUCGUGGGGUGAUUUUGAAUACGAUGUAAUGGGCCAGAAUAUCGAUGAAGAUUUACUGAGAGAGCCUGAACACUUCCUGUAUGGUGGUGACCCUCCUUUGGAGGAAGAUUCUCUGAAGCAGUCGCUGGCACCAUACACACCUCCCUUUGAUUUAUCCUAUCUCACAGAGCCUGCCCAGAGUGCUGAAACAAUAGAGGAAGCUGGGUCUCCAGAGGAUGAGUCUCUGGGAUACAGAGCAGCAGAGAUAGUGCUUUCUGCGCUUCCUGAUCGAAGAAGUGAGGUAAACCAGGCUGAGACCAAAAACAGACUGCCUGGAUCCCAGCUGACUGUGCUGCAUAUUCAUGAAGACCCUGAGUCCGUUUAUUUGCCUGUGGGAGCAGGCGCCAACAUUUUGUCUCCAUCAAGCAUUGACUGGGAAGUAGAAACAGAUAAUUCUGAUUUACCAGCAGGUGGAGACAUAGGACCACCAAAUGGUGACAGCAAGGAAAUAUCAGAAUUGGAAGAAGAAAAAGUAAUUCCUACCAAAGAGCCUGAGCAGAUAAAAUCAGAGUACAAGGAAGGCAGAUGUACAGAGAAGAAUGAAGAUCGUCAUGUACUACACAUGGAUUACAUACUUGUAAACCAUGAAGAAAAUUUACAUUCAAAGCCAGAGGCCUGUGAAGAAAGAGAAAGCAUAGCUGAAUUAGAAUUGUAUGUAGGUUCCAAAGAAACAGGGCCGCAGGGAACUCAGUUAGCAAGCUUCCCAGACACAUGUCAGCCUGCCUCCUUAAAUGAAACAAAAGGUAUCUCUGCAGAGAAAAUGUCUUCUAAAGGCGAUACGAGCUCAUCUUUUGAAAGCCCUGCACAAGACCAGAGUUGGAUGUUCUUGGGCCAUAGUGAGGUUGGUGAUCUAUCAUCAGGGCCUGGGUGGUCUGGCAAGACUGUGGAGCCAUUCUCUGAACUCAGCUUGGGCGAGGGUCCCCAGCUGCAGAUUCUGCAAGAAAUGAAGCCUCUAGAAUCUUUAGCACUAGAGGAAGCCUCUGGUCCAGUCAGCCAAUCACAGAAGAGUAAGAGCCGAGGCAGGGCUGACCCGGAUGCAGUUAUGUUGCAGGCUGUCACCCAUGACAAUGAAUGGGAAAUGCUUUCACCACAGCCUGCUCAGAAAACCAUGAUCCGUGACACGGAAAUGGAGGAGGAGACAGAGUUCCUUGAGCUCGGAACCAGGAAACCAAGACCACAUGGACUACUGUCAGAGGAUGUAGGAAUGGACAUCCCGUUUGAAGAGGGGGUGCUGAGUCCCAGUGCUGCAGACAUGAGGCCUGAACCUCCUAAUUCUCUGGAUCUUAAUGGCACUCAUCCUCGGAGAAUCAAGCUCACAGCCCCAAAUAUCAAUCUUUCUCUGGACCAAAGUGAAGGAUCUAUUCUCUCUGAUGAUAACUUAGACAGUCCAGAUGAAAUUGACAUCAAUGUGGAUGAACUUGAUACCCCCGAUGAAGCAGAUUCUUUUGAGUACACUGGCCAUGAAGAUCCCACAGCCAACAAAGAUUCUGGCCAAGAGUCAGAGUCUAUUCCAGAAUAUACGGCCGAAGAGGAACGGGAGGACAACCGGCUAUGGAGGACAGUGGUGAUUGGAGAACAAGAGCAGCGCAUUGACAUGAAGGUCAUCGAGCCCUACAGGAGAGUCAUUUCUCACGGAGGAGAUUCAGGAUACUAUGGGGACGGUCUAAAUGCCAUCAUUGUGUUUGCCGCCUGUUUUCUGCCAGACAGCGGUCGGGCGGAUUACCACUAUGUCAUGGAAAAUCUUUUCCUAUAUGUAAUAAGUACUUUAGAGUUGAUGGUAGCUGAAGACUAUAUGAUUGUGUACUUGAAUGGUGCAACCCCAAGACGGAAGAUGCCAGGGCUAGGCUGGAUGAAGAAAUGCUACCAGAUGAUUGACAGACGGUUGAGGAAGAAUUUGAAAUCAUUCAUCAUUGUUCAUCCAUCUUGGUUCAUCAGAACAAUCCUUGCUGUGACACGACCUUUUAUAAGUUCAAAAUUCAGCAGUAAAAUUAAAUAUGUCAAUAGCUUAUCAGAACUCAGUGGGCUGAUCCCAAUGGAUUGCAUCCACAUUCCUGAGAGCAUCAUCAAGUACGAUGAAGAGAGAUCUUAUAAGAGAAGUGUGAGGUAAAAAUCUCCUGAUCUCCUAUUCACGCUGGAUCCUGUGUGUGUACAUCAGUGUCUUACUUGUGGGUGACCUCAACAAGCUACCAGAGCGAGAGGUCACUGUAUCAGUCUUUUGUAUGCCAUUUCCAGUCUUUGUCCUGUGUGUAAAGCUGUUGAGGUCAACCUGAUUUGCAACUGAAACCUACUAAACCAGAUACAUCCCUGACUUGGCCCAGGCUGCAAGCUCAUUUGAACUGUACCCACCAGACUGACGUGGAUGUUUUCAGCUUUAUUCAGCCAGCAUGUUCCUGAUCCCUUUGCAACUUAUACCUACCGUUUAUGAAGGAAUUUGCAAAGUAAAUGUACAUAAACACUGAAUGGGAGGAAAUGACAGUAUGUUUAAUGGAAGGAGUGUGUCUCGGGACUCCAGAAGACAGUUUUGAAAAGCACAUAUGCACCACUUUUGUUUGGCUCUGCUUUGCUGAGUGACUGUCUCAUGCUCUGCUUGCUUCUUUUUUGUUUCUUUUCCGCACCAAUAAUUUUUGCUCCUGCAGACUGGAUGAAGAACUGAGGGAAGCUUCAGAAGCAGCUAAUAUUGACUUGAAGCUGAAAGAAAAGCCCUAGUUGGCCACGCUGGAAGAAGAGGAUGCUUUUCUGGUUCAUGGUUCUGUUGAAACUUAUCUACCUGAAAGAGACAGGGCUGAUGUUACCUUUUUCCACGUUGCACUACCUGGUGCCAUUCUAAAUUUCUAAGGGGAAAAAUAGGAAGAAAGUUUGUUUACUCUUAACGUAUUUUGUGAAAUUGUGUCUACUUUCCUAUUUUGCCAAUUAUGUGCCUCAAAGAUUUUAGUUGAGCCUUAGCAAGAAAGUACGACCUUCCAUUUCAAUACUUCGUUGACACAGUGCGGUGAUAUUUUGUCCCUUACACAGGUGUUUACCAGUAAGAUACCUUUAAUCCACUGUAAAUAUUAGUGGAUUUGUUUCCAUAGAUUAGCUGGAUUACCCUUUGGUGAUUGCAUUAGGUUUAAAGGACACAGGGCUCAACUCCUCCCAGGAAAGUUACCCCUGUGUGACUCCACCUUUAAAAUCCUAAGCCUGACUAGGACAGCCAUAAACCACACAAGGUAUAAAACCGUCAUCAGCUAAGUGCCCACUUUGUUCUUGUUUACCAGAAUCUCCUUUAACUUCUCAAAGGGAAGCCGGGCUCUCUAAUCCACAUCAACUUUAUUUUAGUUGUCAGAUUGGUCAUUACAUUUUAUGUAAAUUGGUCUUUUAACAGAUCAUUUUUCUGAUGAAUGUUGGUGACCUCCACAUUGCGAAAUUUAAGAAUGAGCGUUGCAAGUUUGGUAGCUCUCUGAGCUUCAGGCCAUAAACUCAGCUCAAGAUGUUACCUUAUAAGUGCCAAGAGCUCAAGUGCAAGGUGGCCUACUCAGAAAUCAUUUGGUAGCAUUCAGUUAUCCAUGAAUUCUUCUCUCGCAUGCAUUAUAAAAAGUGAUCUGCUUUAAAACACUAUAAUCUGAUCACAGGCUUAAAAUUAAAUGUGAGUAUGUACUUUCAUGUACAAAAUAUUUCCUUUAUAGUCUUCAUAUGCGCUGUAAAAUGCCGACAAGAUUUCAAGUCUGUAGGCCUCUAGCGGGGUGGGGUGGCAAACCACAGCUAACUCUAGCUCACCACUGCAAGCUCAGAAUGGCUUUUAUAUUUUGGGUUGGAAAAAAAAUUUUUGAAUAUUUCAUGACACAUGAAAAUUAUUCAAAUGUUAGUACCCAUAAAUAAAGUGUUACUGAAACACAGCCACGCAAACUUGUUUUUGUGCUGUCUACAGCUACUUUCACACUACAACUGCAGAGCUGAGCAGUUCAACAGACCGUAUGUCCCACAAUGCCUAAAACAUGGAGUAUGUUUACAGAAAAAGUUUGCCGACCCCUGCUCUAGCAAACGCAUCCUUUCCUAGUCCACCCCAAUUCGUAUUUAGUUUCCCUAACAGAACGGACAAAUGAGGCUGCAAACUAAUUUGUUUUUGUCAAAAAUAAAUGUUUUGACAUCCACAGACAGUAAACUAGAAGAAAUAGCCUGCUGAAAAAGAUGAGGAGCCCUAGCCACAAAAUCACGGCUUAGGUUGCAGUUGUCAAAAAUGAAGCCUUCUUAGAAGCACCUCUUUAGUAUUUACAGGUGUUGCCUGAAGUCCGCACCUCACUCUGGGAACCAUUCUUAGUCUCCAGUGUCUCCUAUUACAAAGAAGCUGGCGGAAAUGAAAAUGAAGGGGAGAGAGGGGUUCCCCCCUAGUCUCUUGGUGGAAAAUUCACUGGGGAGAGCUGUCCAGGAUACUUGGAGCUCUUGGUAGAAGGAGCCUGUAACUGCUUUGAAGUAGACGUCAUUGCACAGGUGACUGAGUUUCUCUGACCUCAUUGCUUCAUGUCUGUCUCCUCCCGUCCUCCUGCAUGUGCCCCCACAUACACAGGUCGGCCCUCUUUCCUCCAUAAGCCUCCAUCGUUUUCUCUUUUCUCCUCUUGAUCGAGAUACAAAAGCGAGUAUCUUGUUGAAUUGUAUGUUCUAUUGGAUCUCCUCCCUCAUAACACCUGGCUUGUUGGACAGAAAAACCCUACAGCCCACCCUCUCCCAUAGCCCCUUCUCCACUUUUGAAAGCCCAAAUUACGCCUCUCCCAGAACACAGUGUUGACAUAAACACAGUUACCCAGUAUUCCUGUUUGUUCACCUAUUUGCUACUUUCACUCAGUAGCAUCCCAUUUUGUAAAAUGAAUUGCAUGGUCACCCUGUCACAGGAAGUAAUGAAGAAUCCAGUGUUCAGUGUAGUGGUGCAAACCUGAGGGCAUAGAGCUGUUCAUAGAGGGCUCUUGUUAUAGCCAAACAGACACAGCGACAAUCUCACCAUUUUUAUAUAUAUAUAUAUGUAUUUUUAACUUGUCCAGCUCAUCUAUGGAAAACUACUCAGGUGGUAUGCUGUUUGAAGCCUCAUCUUCCUAUAUGAAAAUUGUGGGCAUUUAUCCCAAUGAUUUUGUUGCAGCUGUUCUGUGGUCUGCAUAACCACUCUGAUAUUUAGGUAUCUGCUAUUUUAUUAUCUUAAAAAGACAAUUUAAUUGCAUGUGCUAGAGAAAAGCUACCAUGUAAAUUCACCCCAAGUAAAUAGAAUCCUAGAUGAAUCCUAGAAAAAUGAUCCCUAAGCAGAUAGGUAGACAGAGGUAAACAUUCACAGGAUUCAGCUCUCUAGCUCUUGCAUUCUGAGCAUUCUUGCUUUGGUUCUGACUUCUGGGAACUGCUUUACAUUUCCCCUAUAGAUCUGGAGUUUAAGGGAACCAAGGGGUCACUGGGGCAAAAGCAUUGUUUCUCAAAGCUCCUUGAUUAAGAGAACAGAAAUCUGCACAGAAGAUACUGUCAAGGAGUGAGAAAAUUUGUUUGAGGGCAGUAGCUCAGUGUGGAAGAAAAUCCUGAAGCUUCUGUUGAAACCGUACAAUGUUCUGUGGGGUUACUCUCUAAGGCAUUCUCUGAGGUGUGUGAGGAAGUCACUACUCAUAGCCUUUGUUCAGAUAUAAUUUUAAAUAUUCAGUUAUGGUACUAUGUUUGCAACUCUCAUCUUGUCACAAUGCCUCAGUAGUUUGUUCCCUUAGAAACACUUAGAUGUGCACAAAUUAAUCUUUUAUAUAUCUAAAGGUUUUUCUAUCAUGUAUUGGAUUGCUCAGAAUAAAGUAUCUAUGAGACUUUGUUUUGGUAAAUAAAUUCUCCCUGAUGUAGAUUAAUAUAAAAUCUGUAAUGACAUAAUAUAUCUAUAUAGCCUUGCUGUAUAAUUCAGAAAUAAAAAUUGAUUCUGCA